Molecule: transfer RNA, 71 nt
Filed under: Candidatus Woesearchaeota archaeon
Lineage: Archaea; Nanobdellati; Candidatus Woesearchaeota
Description: tRNA-Gly
Rfam family: tRNA
About the family: Transfer RNA (tRNA) molecules are approximately 80 nucleotides in length. Their secondary structure includes four short double-helical elements and three loops (D, anti-codon, and T loops). Further hydrogen bonds mediate the characteristic L-shaped molecular structure. tRNAs have two regions of fundamental functional importance: the anti-codon, which is responsible for specific mRNA codon recognition, and the 3' end, to which the tRNAs corresponding amino acid is attached (by aminoacyl-tRNA synthetases). tRNAs cope with the degeneracy of the genetic code in two manners: having more than one tRNA (with a specific anti-codon) for a particular amino acid; and 'wobble' base-pairing, i.e. permitting non-standard base-pairing at the 3rd anti-codon position.
Source: RNAcentral
GCGCCAGUGGUUGAAUGGUACAAUACGACGUUGCCAACGUUGUGGCCUGGGUUCGAUUCCCGGCUGGCGCA